RNAcentral lists this non-coding RNA (45 nucleotides) under Schistosoma haematobium. Lineage: Eukaryota; Metazoa; Platyhelminthes; Trematoda; Strigeidida; Schistosomatidae. The record is from RNAcentral.
ACCCAACUGAUGAGUCCAAAAUAGGACGAAACAUGUGUCUUGAAU